RNAcentral lists this ribosomal RNA (265 nucleotides) under uncultured prokaryote. RNAcentral describes it as "partial 16S ribosomal RNA". It matches the Rfam family "Bacterial small subunit ribosomal RNA", at positions 524 to 788 of the family's 1533-position model. The record is from RNAcentral.
UACGUAGGUGGCAAGCGUUAUCCGGAAUUAUUGGGCGUAAAGGGAGCGCAGGCGGUGACUUAAGUCUGAUGUGAAAGCCCACGGCUCAACCGUGGAAGGUCAUUGGAAACUGGGUCACUUGAAUACAGAAGAGGAAAGUGGAAUUCCAUGUGUAGCGGUGAAAUGCGUAGAUAUUAGGAGGAACACCAGUUGCGAAGGCGGCUCUCUGGACUGUAACUGACACUGAGGCACAAAAGCGUGGGGAGCAAACAGGAUUAGAUACCCU